RNAcentral lists this ribosomal RNA (2932 nucleotides) under Escherichia coli. RNAcentral's name for it is "23S ribosomal RNA". It matches the Rfam family "Bacterial large subunit ribosomal RNA". Lineage: Bacteria; Pseudomonadati; Pseudomonadota; Gammaproteobacteria; Enterobacterales; Enterobacteriaceae. The record is from RNAcentral.
GGGUUGUGAGGUUAAGCGACUAAGCGUACACGGUGGAUGCCCUGGCAGUCAGAGGCGAUGAAGGACGUGCUAAUCUGCGAUAAGCGUCGGUAAGGUGAUAUGAACCGUUAUAACCGGCGAUUUCCGAAUGGGGAAACCCAGUGUGAUUCGUCACACUAUCAUUAACUGAAUCCAUAGGUUAAUGAGGCGAACCGGGGGAACUGAAACAUCUAAGUACCCCGAGGAAAAGAAAUCAACCGAGAUUCCCCCAGUAGCGGCGAGCGAACGGGGAGCAGCCCAGAGCCUGAAUCAGUGUGUGUGUUAGUGGAAGCGUCUGGAAAGGCGUGCGAUACAGGGUGACAGCCCCGUACACAAAAAUGCACAUGCUGUGAGCUCGAUGAGUAGGGCGGGACACGUGGUAUCCUGUCUGAAUAUGGGGGGACCAUCCUCCAAGGCUAAAUACUCCUGACUGACCGAUAGUGAACCAGUACCGUGAGGGAAAGGCGAAAAGAACCCCGGCGAGGGGAGUGAAAAAGAACCUGAAACCGUGUACGUACAAGCAGUGGGAGCACAGAGCAAUCUGUGUGACUGCGUACCUUUUGUAUAAUGGGUCAGCGACUUAUAUUCUGUAGCAAGGUUAACCGAAUAGGGGAGCCGAAGGGAAACCGAGUCUUAACUGGGCGUUAAGUUGCAGGGUAUAGACCCGAAACCCGGUGAUCUAGCCAUGGGCAGGUUGAAGGUUGGGUAACACUAACUGGAGGACCGAACCGACUAAUGUUGAAAAAUUAGCGGAUGACUUGUGGCUGGGGGUGAAAGGCCAAUCAAACCGGGAGAUAGCUGGUUCUCCCCGAAAGCUAUUUAGGUAGCGCCUCGUGAAUUCAUCUCCGGGGGUAGAGCACUGUUUCGGCAAGGGGGUCAUCCCGACUUACCAACCCGAUGCAAACUGCGAAUACCGGAGAAUGUUAUCACGGGAGACACACGGCGGGUGCUAACGUCCGUCGUGAAGAGGGAAACAACCCAGACCGCCAGCUAAGGUCCCAAAGUCAUGGUUAAGUGGGAAACGAUGUGGGAAGGCCCAGACAGCCAGGAUGUUGGCUUAGAAGCAGCCAUCAUUUAAAGAAAGCGUAAUAGCUCACUGGUCGAGUCGGCCUGCGCGGAAGAUGUAACGGGGCUAAACCAUGCACCGAAGCUGCGGCAGCGACGCUUAUGCGUUGUUGGGUAGGGGAGCGUUCUGUAAGCCUGCGAAGGUGUGCUGUGAGGCAUGCUGGAGGUAUCAGAAGUGCGAAUGCUGACAUAAGUAACGAUAAAGCGGGUGAAAAGCCCGCUCGCCGGAAGACCAAGGGUUCCUGUCCAACGUUAAUCGGGGCAGGGUGAGUCGACCCCUAAGGCGAGGCCGAAAGGCGUAGUCGAUGGGAAACAGGUUAAUAUUCCUGUACUUGGUGUUACUGCGAAGGGGGGACGGAGAAGGCUAUGUUGGCCGGGCGACGGUUGUCCCGGUUUAAGCGUGUAGGCUGGUUUUCCAGGCAAAUCCGGAAAACUAAGGCUGAGGCGUGAUGACGAGGCACUACGGUGCUGAAGCAACAAAUGCCCUGCUUCCAGGAAAAGCCUCUAAGCAUCAGGUAACAUCAAAUCGUACCCCAAACCGACACAGGUGGUCAGGUAGAGAAUACCAAGGCGCUUGAGAGAACUCGGGUGAAGGAACUAGGCAAAAUGGUGCCGUAACUUCGGGAGAAGGCACGCUGAUAUGUAGGUGAAGCGACUUGCUCGUGGAGCUGAAAUCAGUCGAAGAUACCAGCUGGCUGCAACUGUUUAUUAAAAACACAGCACUGUGCAAACACGAAAGUGGACGUAUACGGUGUGACGCCUGCCCGGUGCCGGAAGGUUAAUUGAUGGGGUUAGCGCAAGCGAAGCUCUUGAUCGAAGCCCCGGUAAACGGCGGCCGUAACUAUAACGGUCCUAAGGUAGCGAAAUUCCUUGUCGGGUAAGUUCCGACCUGCACGAAUGGCGUAAUGAUGGCCAGGCUGUCUCCACCCGAGACUCAGUGAAAUUGAACUCGCUGUGAAGAUGCAGUGUACCCGCGGCAAGACGGAAAGACCCCGUGAACCUUUACUAUAGCUUGACACUGAACAUUGAGCCUUGAUGUGUAGGAUAGGUGGGAGGCUUUGAAGUGUGGACGCCAGUCUGCAUGGAGCCGACCUUGAAAUACCACCCUUUAAUGUUUGAUGUUCUAACGUUGACCCGUGAUCCGGGUUGCGGACAGUGUCUGGUGGGUAGUUUGACUGGGGCGGUCUCCUCCUAAAGAGUAACGGAGGAGCACGAAGGUUGGCUAAUCCUGGUCGGACAUCAGGAGGUUAGUGCAAUGGCAUAAGCCAGCUUGACUGCGAGCGUGACGGCGCGAGCAGGUGCGAAAGCAGGUCAUAGUGAUCCGGUGGUUCUGAAUGGAAGGGCCAUCGCUCAACGGAUAAAAGGUACUCCGGGGAUAACAGGCUGAUACCGCCCAAGAGUUCAUAUCGACGGCGGUGUUUGGCACCUCGAUGUCGGCUCAUCACAUCCUGGGGCUGAAGUAGGUCCCAAGGGUAUGGCUGUUCGCCAUUUAAAGUGGUACGCGAGCUGGGUUUAGAACGUCGUGAGACAGUUCGGUCCCUAUCUGCCGUGGGCGCUGGAGAACUGAGGGGGGCUGCUCCUAGUACGAGAGGACCGGAGUGGACGCAUCACUGGUGUUCGGGUUGUCAUGCCAAUGGCACUGCCCGGUAGCUAAAUGCGGAAGAGAUAAGUGCUGAAAGCAUCUAAGCACGAAACUUGCCCCGAGAUGAGUUCUCCCUGACUCCUUGAGAGUCCUGAAGGAACGUUGAAGACGACGACGUUGAUAGGCCGGGUGUGUAAGCGCAGCGAUGCGUUGAGCUAACCGGUACUAAUGAACCGUGAGGCUUAACCUUACAACGCCGAAGCUGUU